Molecule: ribosomal RNA, 406 nt
Filed under: uncultured bacterium
Lineage: Bacteria
Description: partial 16S ribosomal RNA
Rfam family: Bacterial small subunit ribosomal RNA
Source: RNAcentral
AUUGAACGCUGGCGGCAUGCUUUACACAUGCAAGUCGGACGAGUGGCGAACGGGUGAGUAACGCAUCGGAACGAACCGAGUAAUGGGGGAUAACUGUCCGAAAGGAAAGCUAAUACCGCAUAUUAGUCGAGCGGCCGAUGACUGCUUAGCCGGUUGGCGGGGUAAAGGCCCCCCAAGGCGAAGAUCAGUAGCGGGUCUGAGAGGGUGAGCCGCCACACUGUGACUGAGACACGGCCCAGACUCAUACGGGAGGCAGCAGUGGGGAAUUUUGGACAAUGGGCGCAAGCCUGAUCCAGCCAUGCCGCGUGUCUGAAGAAGGCCUUCGGGUUGUAAAGGACUUUUGUCAGGGAAGCGGUACCUGAAGAAUAAGCACCGGCUAACUACGUGCCAGCAGCCGCGGUAAUAC